RNAcentral lists this ribosomal RNA (503 nucleotides) under uncultured bacterium. Its description in RNAcentral is "partial 16S ribosomal RNA". It matches the Rfam family "Bacterial small subunit ribosomal RNA", at positions 30 to 523 of the family's 1533-position model. The record is from RNAcentral.
AUUGAACGCUGGCGGCAGGCUCAACACAUGCAAGUCGAGCGGGGUGAUGGUGCUUGCACUAUCACUUAGCGGCGGACGGGUGAGUAAUGCUUAGGAAUCUGCCUAUUAGUGGGGGACAACAUCUCGAAAGGGAUGCUAAUACCGCAUACGUCCUACGGGAGAAAGCAGGGGAUCACUUGUGACCUUGCGCUAAUAGAUGAGCCUAAGUCGGAUUAGCUAGUUGGUGGGGUAAAGGCCUACCAAGGCGACGAUCUGUAGCGGGUCUGAGAGGAUGAUCCGCGACACUGGGACUGAAACACGGCCAGGACUCCUACGGGAGGCAGCAGUGGGGAAUAUUGGACAAUGGGGGGAACCCUGAUCCAGCCAUGCCGCGUGUGUGAAGAAGGCCUUAUGGUUGUAAAGCACUUUAAGCGAGGAGGAGGCUCUUUUGGUUAAUACCCAGAAUGAGUGGACGUUACUCGCAGAAUAAGCACCGGCUAACUCUGUGCCAGCCGCCGCCGUAA